CUAUACCUAAACGUAGUGAAAAAUAUCUUAAAUAUAAUUCUAAUUAUAAUAUUGAUCAUGACAAUUUUAUAGUUAAUAGUCUUGACCAAAUCUUGUGCCAGCAGUCGCGGUAACACAAGGAAGACGAGUGUUAUUCAUGUUAAAUAGGUUUAAAGGGUACCUAGACGGUAGAUUAAUCUUAAAUGAACGAUCUAGCUAGAGUUAUAUAUUGGAGAGGAUGUCAGAACUAAUGGAGUAGAGAUGUAAUUUUUUGAUACUAUUAUGACUGGUAACGGCGAAGGCAAACCUUUAUAUAUUAACUGACGUUGAGGGACGAAGGCUUGGGUAACAAACAGGAUUAGAUACCCUAUUAGUCCAGGCAGAAAAUGAUGAAUGUCAUAAAUUAAUUAUCUAUAUAUCUAGCUAAGAUUACAAUAGAUGUAUUUUAUAAAUGAAAGUGUAAGCAUUCCACCUCAUGAGUAAUGUGGCAACGCAGGAAUUGAAAUCAUUAGGCCGUUUCCGAUAAAAGUAGUGAAGUAUGUCGUUUAAUUCGAUGAUCCUCGAAAAACCUUACCACAAUUUGAAUAUAUAUGUUUACAAGUGUUGCAUUGUUGUCUUUAGUUAAUGUCGUGAGAUAUGAUUAGAUUCAACUAAAUUAACGUAAUCCUUUGCUUUACUUAAAUGGAAAUAAAGCAGUUCUCUAACAUAAUGGAUAUGAUAACAAGGAGUAAGACAAAUCAUAAUGACCUUA
RNAcentral lists this ribosomal RNA (730 nucleotides) under Dimelaena suboreina. RNAcentral's name for it is "SSU rRNA". It matches the Rfam family "Bacterial small subunit ribosomal RNA", at positions 401 to 1203 of the family's 1533-position model. The record is from RNAcentral. Lineage: Eukaryota; Fungi; Ascomycota; Lecanoromycetes; Caliciales; Caliciaceae.